RNAcentral lists this ribosomal RNA (1367 nucleotides) under uncultured bacterium. Its description in RNAcentral is "bacterial SSU rRNA". It matches the Rfam family "Bacterial small subunit ribosomal RNA", at positions 28 to 1381 of the family's 1533-position model. The record is from RNAcentral.
GACGAACGCUGGCGGCGUGCUUAACACAUGCAAGUCGAACGGAAAGGCCCCCACUUUUUUGGUGGGGGUGCUCGAGUGGCGAACGGGUGAGUAACACGUGGGUGAUCUGCCCUGUACUUCGGGAUAAGCUUGGGAAACUGGGUCUAAUACCGGAUAGGACCAUGGUUUAGUGUCUCAUGGUGGAAAGAUUAUUGUUUUGGUGCAGGAUGAGCUCGCGGCCUAUCAGCUUGUUGGUGGGGUAAUGGCCUACCAAGGCGUCGACGGGUAGCCGGCCUGAGAGGGUGGACGGCCACAUUGGGACUGAGAUACGGCCCAGACUCCUACGGGAGGCAGCAGUGGGGAAUAUUGCACAAUGGGCGCAAGCCUGAUGCAGCGACGCCGCGUGGGGGAUGACGGCCUUCGGGUUGUAAACUCCUUUCGUUAGGGACGAAGCCACAUUUUUUUGGGUGUGGUGACGGUACCUUUGUUAAGAAGCACCGGCUAACUACGUGCCAGCAGCCGCGGUAAUACGUAGGGUGCGAGCGUUGUCCGGAAUUACUGGGCGUAAAGAGCUCGUAGGUGGUUUGUUGCGUCGUCUGUGAAAUUCCGGGGCUUAACUUCGGGGUGGCAGGCGAUACGGGCAUAACUAGAGUGCUGUAGGGGAGACUGGAAUUCCUGGUGUAGCGGUGGAAUGCGCAGAUAUCAGGAGGAACACCGAUGGCGAAGGCAGGUCUCUGGGCAGUAACUGACGCUGAGGAGCGAAAGCAUGGGGAGCGAACAGGAUUAGAUACCCUGGUAGUCCAUGCUGUAAACGGUGGGCGUUAGGUGUGGGGACCGGUUUGGUUUCUGUGCCGCAGCUAACGCAUUAAGCGCCCCGCCUGGGGAGUACGGCCGCAAGGCUAAAACUCAAAGGAAUUGACGGGGGCCCGCACAAGCGGCGGAGCAUGUGGAUUAAUUCGAUGCAACGCGAAGAACCUUACCUGGGUUUGACAUGCACCAGACGGUUGUAGAGAUACGUACCUCCCUUUGUGGUUGGUGUGCAGGUGGUGCAUGGUUGUCGUCAGCUCGUGUCGUGAGAUGUUGGGUUAAGUCCCGCAACGAGCGCAACCCUUGUCUUAUGUUGCCAGCACGUUUGGGUGGGGACUCAUGAGAGACUGCCGGGGUUAACUCGGAGGAAGGUGGGGAUGACGUCAAAUCAUCAUGCCCUUUAUGCCCAGGGCUUCACACAUGCUACAAUGGUUAGUACAACGCGCUGCGAACCUGUGAGGGUGAGCGAAUCGCUGAAAGCUAAUCUCAGUUCGGAUUGGGGUCUGCAACUCGACCCCAUGAAGUCGGAGUCGCUAGUAAUCGCAGAUCAGCAAUGCUGCGGUGAAUACGUUCCCGGGCCU